This is a microRNA precursor of Caenorhabditis elegans, 62 nucleotides long. It matches the Rfam family "mir-360 microRNA precursor family". The record is from Rfam. Lineage: Eukaryota; Metazoa; Nematoda; Chromadorea; Rhabditida; Rhabditidae.
UUGUGACCGUUGUUACGGUCAAUUUGCAAAUUGAAAAAAUGACCGUAAUCCCGUUCACAAUA